GGCCAGACUCCUACGGGAGGCAGCAGUGGGGAAUAUUGCACAAUGGGGGAAACCCUGAUGCAGCAACGCCGCGUGAAGGAAGACGGUUUUCGGAUUGUAAACUUCUGUUCUUAGUGAAGAAUAAUGACGGUAGCUAAGGAGCAAGCCACGGCUAACUACGUGCCAGCAGCCGCGGUAAUACGUAGGUGGCAAGCGUUGUCCGGAAUUACUGGGUGUAAAGGGCGUGCAGCCGGGAGUACAAGUCAGAUGUGAAAUCCCGCGGCUCAACCGCGGAACUGCAUUUGAAACUGUAUUUCUUGAGUACUGGAGAGGCAGACGGAAUUCCUAGUGUAGCGGUGAAAUGCGUAGAUAUUAGGAGGAACACCAGUGGCGAAGGCGGUCUGCUGGACAGCAACUGACGGUGAGGCGCGAAAGCGUGGGGAGCACACAGGAUUAGAUACCCUUGUAA
Molecule: ribosomal RNA, 448 nt
Filed under: uncultured bacterium
Lineage: Bacteria
Description: bacterial SSU rRNA
Rfam family: Bacterial small subunit ribosomal RNA
Source: RNAcentral